RNAcentral lists this ribosomal RNA (497 nucleotides) under uncultured bacterium. RNAcentral describes it as "partial 16S ribosomal RNA". It matches the Rfam family "Bacterial small subunit ribosomal RNA", at positions 28 to 507 of the family's 1533-position model. The record is from RNAcentral.
GAUGAACGCUGGCGGCGUGCCUAAUACAUGCAAGUCGAGCGAACGGACGAGAAGCUUGCUUCUCUGAUGUUAGCGGCGGACGGGUGAGUAACACGUGGAUAACCUACCUAUAAGACUGGGAUAACUUCGGGAAACCGGAGCUAAUACCGGAUAAUAUUUUGAACCGCAUGGUUCAAAAGUGAACGACGGUCUUGCUGUCACUUAUAGAUGGAUCCGCGCUGCAUUAGCUAGUUGGUAAGGUAACGGCUUACCAAGGCAACGAUGCAUAGCCGACCUGAGAGGGUGAUCGGCCACACUGGAACUGAGACACGGUCCAGACUCCUACGGGAGGCAGCAGUAGGGAAUCUUCCGCAAUGGGCGAAAGCCUGACGGAGCAACACCGCGUGAGUGAUGAAGGUCUUCGGAUCGUAAAACUCUGUUAUUAGGGAAGAACAUAUGUGUAAGUAACUGUGCACAUCUUGACGGUACCUAAUCAGAAAGCCACGGCUAACUACGUG